UACGGAGGGAGCUAGCGUUAUUCGGAGUUACUGGGCGUAAAGCGUACGUAGGCGGCUUUGUAAGUUAGAGGUGAAAGCCUGGAGCUCAACUCCAGAACUGCCUUUAAGACUGCUUCGCUUGAAUCCGGGAGAGGUGAGUGGAAUUCCGAGUGUAGAGGUGAAAUUCGUAGAUAUUCGGAAGAACACCAGUGGCGAAGGCGGCUCACUGGACCGGCAUUGACGCUGGAGUACGAAAGCGUGGGGAGCAGACAGG
This 253-nucleotide ribosomal RNA is filed under the name uncultured bacterium. Its description in RNAcentral is "partial 16S ribosomal RNA". It matches the Rfam family "Bacterial small subunit ribosomal RNA", at positions 524 to 776 of the family's 1533-position model. The record is from RNAcentral.